RNAcentral lists this ribosomal RNA (381 nucleotides) under uncultured eukaryote. RNAcentral's name for it is "partial 18S ribosomal RNA". It matches the Rfam family "Eukaryotic small subunit ribosomal RNA", at positions 592 to 976 of the family's 1831-position model. The record is from RNAcentral.
CAAUAGCGUAUAUUAAAGCUGUUGCGGUUAAAAAGCUCGUAGUUGGAUUUCUGUCAAGGACAACUGGUCCGCCCUCCGGGUGAGCACAUAGUUUGGUCUUGGCAUCUUGCUGGAAGCUGUUGCUGCACUUGGCUGUGUGGCGCAGCGUCCAGCACUUUCACUUUGAGGAAAUUGGAGUGUUUCAAGCAGGCACAUGCCUUUGGACACAGUAGCAUGGAAUAAUUAGAUUGGGCUUUUGCUCCAAUUUGUCGGUUUCUGGAGCUGAGGUGAGAAUUAAUGGGGAUUGUUAGGGGCAUCCGAAUUUAGCCGUCAGAGGUGAAAUUCUUGGAUCUGCUAAAGACGGACAACUGCGAAAGCGUUUGCCCAGGAUGUUUUCAUUGA